Molecule: long non-coding RNA, 1660 nt
Organism: Hemicordylus capensis (graceful crag lizard)
Lineage: Eukaryota; Metazoa; Chordata; Lepidosauria; Squamata; Cordylidae
Exons: 3
Source: RefSeq, a predicted model, not a curated record
CUUAGUCUCUCUAUCUCUGUGUGUGUUACUUGUUAGGGUUACUUGUUAGGGUUAAGAUAUCACAGGGCUAGGAGUUCUUAGGGUUACCUAAAGGUGGUGUUUACUUAGUAGUGGGGGUGGAGUCAGCUAGGGCUGGGAGGGGCCCCACAUUCCUUCCUUUGACUCACAUCCAGUGUGACAGUUGGAAGCCUACACUACAUAUGAGGUGUAGGCCCGAGAGCAUAGCGGACAGAGCAUAGCGGACAGGGAUAGCCAACAGGACAUAGGAGUUUUUCAGGAGUUUAGCGGGAAGUGUGCGGGGGAGCCUGGAACAAGCCCCCGCAAUCACAAGGAUCACAAGGAGCCUGGUAGAGAAGAGAACGCCACAAAUGCUCCCAACCCAUCAACAUGGCCAUCCAGAAUUGUGCAGCAGUGAAGAUAUGCUACAGCCUGAUAAAAGAGUGGCCGACCAACAAGCAAUUCUGUCUCUUCUCCCAUGCAUCAAUCAUAAAUAGAAACAGGAAAGCUGGACUUCAUUCUUUUCCUACCUCUUUCUGUUACUUCCACUCUCUGCCCUGACUGCUUUACAUCUGACAGAUCCCAGGGAUGACUAGUUUUAAAUAUCACUUAUACCCAUAGGCAGAGAGAGAACAACAAUAAUAAAAGAAGAAGAAACUGGGUCAUAUAUAUGCUUUGAUUGAAACUGGUAGGGACACUGCAUUAAAUGGCAGCCCUAUAUAAAGCUGGAACACAGUGCUGUCCUCUUCACUUGCACAUAGCUGUCUAUUCUAUUUUUACUAGGAGCCUGUGAAGCAAAGAAAGAAAUUGGUCAUGUUAUUCUUCAGGAAUCAAAUGGAGUUUUAUCACAUGCCUCAGUAGUGAUUAUUGGGGUCAAUGGAUUCUAAUCCUUCCCACCCCAUGUUACUGGCCAAAGUUUUUCUUCUUCCAAAGGAUCAGAUGAUCCCAUCGAGUGAGAGAUUUCAGACGUGAUGGUCUGGUAUUAGAGGCAAAAUGGUCUGGAAGUUGGUACUGGCUCAGCUUCAGUUUACACAUUCUAUGAAUUAAAAGAUCACGUGAUCUGAAUUUUGAAACGAUUAUAUUGCAUUUCAGAGACAUUUAAUAUACUGCCCACUCCGAAGACUCUGGGCGGUGUACAACAGGCGGCAAACAGGCAACAUUAAAAAUUACAUUACAUUAAUAAUUAAAAAUUAUUAAAGAACUAAAGUAACUACCAGAAAACAGAAAAAUGAACUACAGGGCAAAGGCCUGGCGAAAAAGAAAAGUCUUCAAUAGCAAUUUGAAGAUCGGUAAGGAAGGUGCUAGCCAGAUCUGUGGGGGUGGGGAGUUCCAAAGGAGUGGGGCAGCAACCGAAAAGGCCCUUUUGAAAGGAAGCUUCCAGGCCCUUUACUCCAGUCAUUUUCAAACUUUAUAAAACUGUGCCAUUGCUUCUAAACUGAUUGGAUGGCUGUGUUGACCACAUAGUGACAACCUGCUUGGAUUGCAGACAUUAUUAUGAGUCAUCUUGGUAGUCUGUUAGAGAGUGUGAGUUAGUGGUUAUAGCAGAAAUGUAUUAAGAGUGAGUGUGGUCCUUUGGUCAGCUUCAUUUUUGCUCCCCCUGGAUCCAAUCCCUAUUGGAAGAACCCAAAUGAGGUAUCUAAAUAAAAUGAGUUAUCUGCCUUUA